Molecule: signal recognition particle RNA, 100 nt
Filed under: Bacillota bacterium
Lineage: Bacteria; Bacillati; Bacillota
Description: signal recognition particle sRNA small type
Rfam family: Bacterial small signal recognition particle RNA
About the family: The signal recognition particle (SRP) is a universally conserved ribonucleoprotein involved in the co-translational targeting of proteins to membranes. Archaeal SRP consists of a 7S RNA and homologues of the eukaryotic SRP19 and SRP54 proteins.
Source: RNAcentral
CGCUGGGUCCGGCGCGGCGCAGGGCUGUUAACCCCGCCAGGUCCGGAAGGAAGCAACGGUCCGCAGCUUUCUGCGGGUGCCGCCGGGCAACCUGGCCCAA